Molecule: unclassified non-coding RNA, 19 nt
Filed under: Mus musculus (house mouse)
Lineage: Eukaryota; Metazoa; Chordata; Mammalia; Rodentia; Muridae
Description: oocyte_clustered_small_RNA11452
Source: RNAcentral
AAAGUCGAAGCCGCAGCCG